CUCUGUCUCUCCUUGCACGACGUUGAGCCCUUGUGCGACGCUGCAUCUCAUCUCUGUCACGCUGCUUCUCCGACUCACUUCGUUUCCACUUCUCCAUCGUUGCUGUCACGCCGAGCCCUUCGUUUUGCUGUCACCACUGCCAGCCGCUGCUCAGAUCCGAGGAGUUCAGUGAAGUCACAGUGAGUCUCAACUCACACUCCCACUCACACUCACCGAGUCGCAGUGAGCGAGCGACCAAGUGGGACUGGAAAUUUAAGCCCUUCUCCGUCUUCUUCUUCUCUUCUUCUUUUAUUCCCCACGCUUUCUUGUCUCUUUUAAGAUCGACCUUGACCUCCAUUAAUUCCUCUCCCUCCUCAGACCAAAACCACGAAAAUUGCGUUACCUGCGCCCCUCUCUCUCUCUCUCUCUCUCUCUCUCUCUCUCUCUC
This 427-nucleotide long non-coding RNA is filed under the name Eucalyptus grandis. RNAcentral's name for it is "long non-coding RNA (EGRA_LNC001859)". Lineage: Eukaryota; Viridiplantae; Streptophyta; Magnoliopsida; Myrtales; Myrtaceae. The record is from RNAcentral.